RNAcentral lists this ribosomal RNA (574 nucleotides) under Scinax fuscomarginatus (brown-bordered snouted treefrog). RNAcentral's name for it is "partial 16S ribosomal RNA". It matches the Rfam family "Bacterial large subunit ribosomal RNA", at positions 1816 to 2596 of the family's 2925-position model. The record is from RNAcentral. Lineage: Eukaryota; Metazoa; Chordata; Amphibia; Anura; Hylidae.
CGCCUCUUGAAUAAAAAUAAGAGGUCCAGCCUGCCCAGUGACUAAUAUUCAACGGCCGCGGUAUCCUAACCGUGCGAAGGUAGCGUAAUCACUUGUUCUUUAAAUGGGGACUAGUAUGAAUGGCAUCACGAGGGUUAUACUGUCUCCUUUUUCUAAUCAGUGAAUCUAAUCUCCCCGUGAAGAAGCGGGGAUACACCUACAAGACGAGAAGACCCUAUGGAGCUUUAAAUACCUCUUCAAACGUUGGACUCCUCCCCAGUUUUAAACUCACCUAUAUUAACCCCGUACGCUAUGAAGACAACUUUAGGUUGGGGUGACCGCGGAGUACAACAUAACCUCCACGCUGAAUUCAGACUCUUUAAGCCUGAGCCAAGAGCCACUGCUCAAAGCACUAAGAAAUUAACAUUUAUUGACCCAAAACAUUUGAUCAACGAACCAAGUUACCCUAGGGAUAACAGCGCAAUCCAUUUCAAGAGUCCAUAUCGACAAAUGGGUUUACGACCUCGAUGUUGGAUCAGGGUAUCCCAGUGGUGCAGCCGCUACUAAUGGUUCGUUUGUUCAACGAUUAAAACCC